GAGGAAACUUGUGCUAAUACCGGAUAAGUCUUUACGGAGAAAGCUUUAUGCACCAUUGGAUGAGCCUGCACUUGAUUAGUUUGUUGGUGGGGUAAUGGCCUACCAAGACUGUGAUCAAUAGCUGAUUUGAGAGGAUGAUCAGCCACAUUGGGACUGAGACACGGCCCAAACUCCUACGGGAGGCAGCAGUGGGGAAUCUU
This 200-nucleotide ribosomal RNA is filed under the name uncultured bacterium. RNAcentral describes it as "partial 16S ribosomal RNA". It matches the Rfam family "Bacterial small subunit ribosomal RNA", at positions 150 to 365 of the family's 1533-position model. The record is from RNAcentral.